GGAAGGAGAGAGUCAGUGAGAAGCGCAACCAAUGCGGGGAGCCGGCCUGCAGCCAGUGGGCGCCCGCGGUUUCCAAAGACCCGCCCCUGCGCGCCAGUGGUGGGCGGAUGGGCGCUAGGAGCUGCACUUAAAAGGCGGGGAAUCGCUAGCCGCAAGAUUUUUCCUCGACAGAUCCUGCCGCAGUGUAUUCCUCCCGCACCACUCGCCUCCACCCGUCGCUGCCACCGCCGCCGCCUCGCCUGGAGCCUCCGGGCGUCCCACCAUCGCCCUCCUCCAAGCCCUGCCUCGAGGCCUGGCACGUGGGCAAGUGCAGCCAAAGUGGCUGUGGCCAGAGAGAAGAAAACAGUAAAAGAAGUCUCUGUUCCUUACGGGAGUCUGACAGGUAACCUCAGCCCAGCCUUAGGAUAUUGGGCCCGGAGCUCAGAGGAAGGAACUGGAGGAAGAGGAGUCAGAGACCCAGUCCUCAGACUGGUUUUGGGUGAGAUCUCUAUCCAUCAGGAGGAGCUGAUUUCUUCAGGAGGUAAUUCCAGAAGAGGAAUUGCUACUCUUUGAGGCUGCGGACCCUGUUUGCUGAUGUUGACCCACUGGCCCUUCUGCCCGUGUGCUGGUGGAGAAGCACGAUGAACAGGUGCCUUGCACCCCCACUUCUGGGGAGCCAUCAGCACAGGCCCUGCCUGUUCCCAUGGUCCCAUGGUGCUUCCCACCCUGAACCCUUGUAGCACUAGCCAGGGAGAAAGCAGAGGAACAGUGAGCUGAUUUUCAGGCCUCUGGGGGCAGAGGGGGUUGGGCUUCCCUAUGACCCCCUCCCCACUUUCCCAGAUCUUCAAUAUUUGUUGUGAUGUGACAGCCACAAAAGCUGUAAGAACUGUGGGCUUUGGGUGCCUCCUUGUUAAGAGGGUGGGUGGGGGGGGGGAAUGCAUGCAGGGGUAUGGAGGCAGCUCAAGGAUUCCCAGAACCUGGGGAAGAAACUCCUUCGAAAUAAAUGUGUUAUUGUUAUUAUUGUGUUAUUGCUGUAUUAUUGUGUUGUGAAGAUAAGAAGUUUUACUCUGUACGCUAAUGCUUUCUCUUCCUCAAUAAAAAUAUAAAGGGUGUGUAAAGAUGGUGUCUGUCUGUGUUAUUGGGCAAACAUAGAUGGGUGCCCAGUGGGCGGG
RNAcentral lists this long non-coding RNA (1151 nucleotides) under Cavia porcellus (domestic guinea pig). RNAcentral's name for it is "lncRNA (ENSCPOG00000031358.1)". The record is from RNAcentral. Lineage: Eukaryota; Metazoa; Chordata; Mammalia; Rodentia; Caviidae.